ACACUUUUAGUUUAAUGGUAGAACAAUAGUCUUCGAAACUAAUAAUAUGGGUUCAAUUCCUAUAGAGUGUA
Molecule: transfer RNA, 71 nt
Filed under: Pneumocystis jirovecii
Lineage: Eukaryota; Fungi; Ascomycota; Pneumocystomycetes; Pneumocystales; Pneumocystaceae
Rfam family: tRNA
About the family: Transfer RNA (tRNA) molecules are approximately 80 nucleotides in length. Their secondary structure includes four short double-helical elements and three loops (D, anti-codon, and T loops). Further hydrogen bonds mediate the characteristic L-shaped molecular structure. tRNAs have two regions of fundamental functional importance: the anti-codon, which is responsible for specific mRNA codon recognition, and the 3' end, to which the tRNAs corresponding amino acid is attached (by aminoacyl-tRNA synthetases). tRNAs cope with the degeneracy of the genetic code in two manners: having more than one tRNA (with a specific anti-codon) for a particular amino acid; and 'wobble' base-pairing, i.e. permitting non-standard base-pairing at the 3rd anti-codon position.
Source: Rfam by way of RNAcentral